AUGCAAGUCGAGCGGAAACGAGUUAUCUGAACCUUCGGGGGACGAUAACGGCGUCGAGCGGCGGACGGGUGAGUAAUGCCUAGGAAAUUGCCCUGAUGUGGGGGAUAACCAUUGGAAACGAUGGCUAAUACCGCAUAAUGCCUACGGGCCAAAGAGGGGGACCUUCGGGCCUCUCGCGUCAGGAUAUGCCUAGGUGGGAUUAGCUAGUUGGUGAGGUAAUGGCUCACCAAGGCGACGAUCCCUAGCUGGUCUGAGAGGAUGAUCAGCCACACUGGAACUGAGACACGGUCCAGACUCCUACGGGAGGCAGCAGUGGGGAAUAUUGCACAAUGGGCGCAAGCCUGAUGCAGCCAUGCCGCGUGUGUGAAGAAGGCCUUCGGGUUGUAAAGCACUUUCAGUCGUGAGGAAGGUGGUGUAGUUAAUAGCUGCAUUAUUUGACGUUAGCGACAGAAGAAGCACCGGCUAACUCCGUGCCAGCAGCCGCGGUAAUACGGAGGGUGCGAGCGUUAAUCGGAAUUACUGGGCGUAAAGCGCAUGCAGGUGGUUUGUUAAGUCAGAUGUGAAAGCCCGGGGCUCAACCUCGGAAUAGCAUUUGAAACUGGCAGACUAGAGUACUGUAGAGGGGGGUAGAAUUUCAGGUGUAGCGGUGAAAUGCGUAGAGAUCUGAAGGAAUACCGGUGGCGAAGGCGGCCCCCUGGACAGAUACUGACACUCAGAUGCGAAAGCGUGGGGAGCAAACAGGAUUAGAUACCCUGGUAGUCCACGCCGUAAACGAUGUCUACUUGGAGGUUGUGGCCUUGAGCCGUGGCUUUCGGAGCUAACGCGUUAAGUAGACCGCCUGGGGAGUACGGUCGCAAGAUUAAAACUCAAAUGAAUUGACGGGGGCCCGCACAAGCGGUGGAGCAUGUGGUUUAAUUCGAUGCAACGCGAAGAACCUUACCUACUCUUGACAUCCAGAGAACUUUCCAGAGAUGGAUUGGUGCCUUCGGGAACUCUGAGACAGGUGCUGCAUGGCUGUCGUCAGCUCGUGUUGUGAAAUGUUGGGUUAAGUCCCGCAACGAGCGCAACCCUUAUCCUUGUUUGCCAGCGAGUAAUGUCGGGAACUCCAGGGAGACUGCCGGUGAUAAACCGGAGGAAGGUGGGGACGACGUCAAGUCAUCAUGGCCCUUACGAGUAGGGCUACACACGUCCUACAAUGGCGCAUACAGAGGGCAGCAAGCUAGCGAUAGUGAGCGAAUCCCAAAAAGUGCGUCGUAGUCCGGAUUGGAGUCUGCAACUCGACUCCAUGAAGUCGGAAUCGCUAGUAAUCGUGGAUCAGAAUGCCACGGUGAAUACGUUCCCGGGCCUUGUACACACCGCCCGUCACACCAUGGGAGUGGGCUGCAAAAGAAGUAGGUAG
This 1399-nucleotide ribosomal RNA is filed under the name Vibrio campbellii. Its description in RNAcentral is "16S ribosomal RNA". It matches the Rfam family "Bacterial small subunit ribosomal RNA", at positions 55 to 1433 of the family's 1533-position model. The record is from RNAcentral. Lineage: Bacteria; Pseudomonadati; Pseudomonadota; Gammaproteobacteria; Vibrionales; Vibrionaceae.